ACUCGAGUGGCGAACGGGUGAGUAACACGUGGGUGAUCUGCCUUGCACUUCGGGAUAAGCUUGGGAAACUGGGUCUAAUACCAGAUAGGACCAUGCUUUGGAUGGUGUGGUGGAAAGUUUUUCGGUGUGGGAUGAGCUUGCGGCCUAUCAGCUUGUUGGUGGGGUAAUGGCCUACCAAGGCGUCGACGGGUAGCCGGCCUGAGAGGGUGUACGGCCACAUUGGGACUGAGAUACGGCCCAG
This 241-nucleotide ribosomal RNA is filed under the name uncultured Actinomycetales bacterium. Its description in RNAcentral is "partial 16S ribosomal RNA". It matches the Rfam family "Bacterial small subunit ribosomal RNA", at positions 89 to 334 of the family's 1533-position model. Lineage: Bacteria; Bacillati; Actinomycetota; Actinomycetes; Actinomycetales. The record is from RNAcentral.